Molecule: transfer-messenger RNA, 386 nt
Filed under: Helicobacter pylori
Lineage: Bacteria; Pseudomonadati; Campylobacterota; Epsilonproteobacteria; Campylobacterales; Helicobacteraceae
Rfam family: transfer-messenger RNA
About the family: Bacterial tmRNA, also known as 10Sa RNA or SsrA, is named for its dual tRNA and mRNA-like properties.
Source: RNAcentral
GGGGCUGACUUGGAUUUCGACAGAUUUCUUGUUGCGCAGACAGCAUGCCAAGUGCUACUUGUAAAACAGCAACAAAAAUAACUGUAAACAACGCAGAUUACGCUCCAGCUUACGCUAAAGUUGCGUGAGUUAAUCUCCUUUUGGAGCUGGACUGAUUAGAAUUUCUAGCGUUUUAAUCACUCCAUAACCUUAAGCUAGACGCUUUUAAAAGGUGGUUCGCCUUUUAAACUAAGAAACAAGAACUCUUGAAACUACCUCAAGGUUUUAGAAAGUUGGACCAGAGCUAGUUUUAAGGCUAAAAAACUAACCAAUUUUCUAAGCAUUGUAGAAGUUUGUGUUUAGGGCAAGAUUUUUGGACUGGGGUUCGAUUCCCCACAGCUCCACCA